Molecule: ribosomal RNA, 388 nt
Filed under: Salmonella enterica subsp. enterica serovar Chester
Lineage: Bacteria; Pseudomonadati; Pseudomonadota; Gammaproteobacteria; Enterobacterales; Enterobacteriaceae
Description: bacterial SSU rRNA
Rfam family: Bacterial small subunit ribosomal RNA
Source: RNAcentral
CGCCUGGGGAGUACGGCCGCAAGGUUAAAACUCAAAUGAAUUGACGGGGGCCCGCACAAGCGGUGGAGCAUGUGGUUUAAUUCGAUGCAACGCGAAGAACCUUACCUGGUCUUGACAUCCACGGAAGUUUUCAGAGAUGAGAAUGUGCCUUCGGGAACCGUGAGACAGGUGCUGCAUGGCUGUCGUCAGCUCGUGUUGUGAAAUGUUGGGUUAAGUCCCGCAACGAGCGCAACCCUUAUCCUUUGUUGCCAGCGAUUAGGUCGGGAACUCAAAGGAGACUGCCAGUGAUAAACUGGAGGAAGGUGGGGAUGACGUCAAGUCAUCAUGGCCCUUACGACCAGGGCUACACACGUGCUACAAUGGCGCAUACAAAGAGAAGCGACCUCGC